Pelobates cultripes (western spadefoot toad) is the source of this 258-nucleotide non-coding RNA. The record is from the annotation of a GenBank genome assembly. Lineage: Eukaryota; Metazoa; Chordata; Amphibia; Anura; Pelobatidae.
AUAUAAAAGAUAUAUUGUAAAAAGUACAUAAAAUAAUUCCAAACCGCAUUUCGCCAAUAAACUGGCUUCCUCAGUUGGUAUAAUAAUCAUUGCGUCCUCUUGUUCUUUUAUAUGUACCUGAUGACAUGAUUGCCGGCAUCUGCCGAACCGGAAAUUCGCUCUGUGGAACGCACACAGAGCUAGUUGGAACGCACGUACGUGCGUGUAUACGGAAAUCACGUGGUUUGGCUGUUCGACUUCCUUUUUCUUCGUGGAACG